GAUGAACGCUAGCUAUAGGCUUAACACAUGCAAGUCGAGGGGCAGCGAAUAGAUAGCUUGCUAGUUAUGUCGGCGACCGGCGCAUGGGUGAGUAACGCGUAUCCAACCUGCCCAUAACUAAGGGAUAACCCAGCGAAAGUUGGACUAAUACCUUAUGUAUUCGUUUGAUCGCAUGAGAUUACUAAUAAAGUUUUAUCGGUCAUGGUUGGGGAUGCGUCUGAUUAGCUUGUUGGCGGGGUAAGGGCCCACCUAGGCAACGAUCAGUAGGGGUGCUGAGAGGUAGGUCACCCACGUUGGAGCUGCGACCCGGACCAAACUCCUACGGCGUGCCGCAGUGAGUAAUAUUAGUGAAUGGACGCUAAUCUGAACCAGCCAAGUAGCGUACGGGAUGACUGCCCUGUGGAUUGUAUUCUGCUUUUAUAGGGGGAAUAAGUGGGAAACGCCUUCCGUUUUGACGGUACCAUAUGAAUAAGGACCGGCUAAUUCCGUG
RNAcentral lists this ribosomal RNA (490 nucleotides) under uncultured bacterium. RNAcentral's name for it is "partial 16S ribosomal RNA". It matches the Rfam family "Bacterial small subunit ribosomal RNA", at positions 28 to 507 of the family's 1533-position model. The record is from RNAcentral.